AGCAGCCGCGGUAAUUCCAGCUCCAAUAGCGUAUAUUAAAGUUGUUGCAGUUAAAAGCUCGUAGUUGAAUUUCGGGGUUAGCAGGUCGGUCGUGCCAUCGGUAUGAACUGGUCUCGCUGAUCCCUCCCUCUUGACGAACUGUGAUGCCAUUAAUUUGGUGUCGCAGGGAAUCAGGACUGUUACUUUGAAAAAAUUAGAGUGUUUAAAGCAGGCUCACGCUUGAAUACAUUAGCAUGGAAUAAUGAAAUAGGACGUUUGAUCCUAUUUUGUUGGCUUCUAGGAUUGACGUAAUGAUUAAUAGGGAUAGUUGGGGGCAUUAGUAUUCAAUUGUCAGAGGUGAAAUUCUUGGAUUUAUUGAAGACUAACUACUGCGAAAGCAUUUGCCAAAGGAUGUUUUCAUUAAUCAAGAACGAAAGUUAGGGGAUCGAAGACGAUCAGAUACCGUCGUAGUCUUAACCAUAAACUAUGCCGACUAGGGAUCGGAUGAUGUUAAUUUUUUAAUGACUCAUUCGGCGCCUUA
RNAcentral lists this unclassified non-coding RNA (520 nucleotides) under uncultured Glomus. RNAcentral's name for it is "SSU rRNA". It matches the Rfam family "Eukaryotic small subunit ribosomal RNA", at positions 569 to 1090 of the family's 1831-position model. Lineage: Eukaryota; Fungi; Glomeromycota; Glomeromycetes; Glomerales; Glomeraceae. The record is from RNAcentral.